Non-coding RNA from Haemonchus contortus (barber pole worm), 74 nucleotides. The record is from Rfam. Lineage: Eukaryota; Metazoa; Nematoda; Chromadorea; Rhabditida; Trichostrongylidae.
GGUACAAACUUGGAGUAAAACAGAUUAGUAGGUCAGCUGAUCCUACUAAUCUACUCUACUUCAAAAUUGGGCCC